GACGAACGCUGGCGGCGUGCUUAACACAUGCAAGUCGAACGAUGAAGCCCAGCUUGCUGGGUGGAUUAGUGGCGAACGGGUGAGUAACACGUGAGUAACCUGCCCUUGACUCUGGGAUAAGCGCUGGAAACGGCGUCUAAUACCGGAUACGACCUGCCCCGGCAUCGGGUGCGGGUGGAAAGUUUUUCGGUCAAGGAUGGACUCGCGGCCUAUCAGCUAGUUGGUGAGGUAAUGGCUCACCAAGGCGACGACGGGUAGCCGGCCUGAGAGGGUGACCAGCCACACUGGGACUGAGACACGGCCCAGACUCCUACGGGAGGCAGCAGUGGGGAAUAUUGCACAAUGGGCGAAAGCCUGAUGCAGCAACGCCGCGUGGGGGAUGACGGCCUUCGGGUUGUAAACCUCUUUUAGUAGGGAAGAAGGGCUUCGGCUUGACGGUACCUGCAGAAAAAGCACCGGCUAACUACGUGCCAGCCGCCGCGGUAA
Molecule: ribosomal RNA, 486 nt
Filed under: uncultured bacterium
Lineage: Bacteria
Description: partial 16S ribosomal RNA
Rfam family: Bacterial small subunit ribosomal RNA
Source: RNAcentral